This 406-nucleotide ribosomal RNA is filed under the name uncultured bacterium. RNAcentral describes it as "bacterial SSU rRNA". It matches the Rfam family "Bacterial small subunit ribosomal RNA", at positions 983 to 1391 of the family's 1533-position model. The record is from RNAcentral.
GACAUGUCAGGAACUUUGCAGAGAUGCGAAGGUGCUCGAAAGAGAGCCUGAACACAGGUGCUGCAUGGCCGUCGUCAGCUCGUGUCGUGAGAUGUUGGGUUAAGUCCCGCAACGAGCGCAACCCUUGUCAUUAGUUGCCACGAAAAGGGGCACUCUAGUGAGACUGCCGGUGACAAACCGGAGGAAGGUGGGGAUGACGUCAGGUCCUCAUGGCCCUUAUGGGUAGGGCUACACACGUCAUACAAUGGCCGGUACAGAGGGUUGCCAACCCGCGAGGGGGAGCCAAUCCCACAAAGCCGGUCGUAGUCCGGAUCGUAGUCUGCAACUCGACUACGUGAAGUCGGAAUCGCUAGUAAUCGCGGAUCAGCUUGCCGCGGUGAAUACGUUCCCGGGUCUUGUACACACC